AGAUGCGAUCAUACCAGCACUAACGUAACGGAUCCCAUCAGAACUCCGAAGCUAAGUGCUUGGGCGAGAGAAGUACUAGGAUGGGUGACCCCCUGGGAAGUCCUCAUGUUGCAUCCC
This 117-nucleotide ribosomal RNA is filed under the name Nicotiana sylvestris (wood tobacco). RNAcentral also lists the same sequence under 1 other name. Lineage: Eukaryota; Viridiplantae; Streptophyta; Magnoliopsida; Solanales; Solanaceae. The record is from RNAcentral.